CCAUUCGUAUAUUCAGUUUAUGAUCAAUUGGAGAAUGUUUUUUCUUUAUUUUGUAACAGGUGCAUUAUUGGAAUUCAUGAAGUUCCGAAAGAUUCGGCUUUAGGCAGAUUGAAAGGAAGCGACAAUGCGCGCUUAACGGUUGAAUGACUUGGGUGAAGAAUCAACCAGACUUCAUCCCUUCCUCUCUCUCUGGAGGUAGCGCCCAACGGUUGAAUGACUUGGGUGAAGAAUCAACCAGACU
Molecule: long non-coding RNA, 241 nt
Organism: Helianthus annuus (common sunflower)
Lineage: Eukaryota; Viridiplantae; Streptophyta; Magnoliopsida; Asterales; Asteraceae
Exons: 3
Source: RefSeq, a predicted model, not a curated record